This 497-nucleotide ribosomal RNA is filed under the name uncultured bacterium. Its description in RNAcentral is "partial 16S ribosomal RNA". It matches the Rfam family "Bacterial small subunit ribosomal RNA", at positions 28 to 507 of the family's 1533-position model. The record is from RNAcentral.
GACGAACGCUGGCGGCGUGCCUAAUACAUGCAAGUUGAGCGCUGAAGGUUGGUACUUGUACCAACUGGAUGAGCAGCGAACGGGUGAGUAACGCGUGGGGAAUCUGCCUUUGAGCGGGGGACAACAUUUGGAAACGAAUGCUAAUACCGCAUAAAAACUUUAAACACAAGUUUUAAGUUUGAAAGAUGCAAUUGCAUCACUCAAAGAUGAUCCCGCGUUGUAUUAGCUAGUUGGUGAGGUAAAGGCUCACCAAGGCGAUGAUACAUAGCCGACCUGAGAGGGUGAUCGGCCACAUUGGGACUGAGACACGGCCCAAACUCCUACGGGAGGCAGCAGUAGGGAAUCUUCGGCAAUGGACGAAAGUCUGACCGAGCAACGCCGCGUGAGUGAAGAAGGUUUUCGGAUCGUAAAACUCUGUUGGUAGUGAAGAACGUUGGUGAGAGUGGAAAGCUCAUCAAGUGACGGUAACUACCCAGAAAGGGACGGCUAACUACGUG